CAGAGAACGAGAGGUGCAGACGGGAGGCGCUGCCAAGCUGGCGGCCCGACUGCCCCGGUCCCACUCGCACCCGCGGCUCAGCCGCGUCCGUGCCCACCCGCGGCUGGGCCGCGCCCGUGCGUCGCUGCCCCCGUCGCCCCUGCCGCACCCUCCGUUGCCGGGCCUGCCGCCAGGCCUGAGCUGCGGGCCGCCACCGCCCUCAGCCCUCGCCCGCGCCGAGCUACCGCCGCUGCCCGCGCUCCCGCUGCGGCCCGAGCUGUUGGCACCUUGGGGCCCCGGCGCCCACCUUGCGCUGCCCGAGCUACCGCCCGAGGCCUGCGCUCCCCCGCCGCCUGCAGCCGCGCUCGCCCUGCAGGACCUGCCGCGCUUGCCCGCUGCCGCGCCACCGCCUGGGCACCCGCCGCUGCCUCCGCUGCCUCCGCUGCCAGAGGCCGCCGCUGCCGCCGUGCCCAGGCCUGUGGGCGCGCGCGGCCGCCCGGCCCUGCGAGGGGAGGCGCCCCUGCCGCCGCUGCCGCCGCUGCCCUACCGGCCCUCGUCCUUCGGCCUGCUGGGCCCUCCCGCUCCCCAAGAUCCCUGGCCGCUGCCCGCCUUUCCCCCCGCCGUCGCCCCCGCCUCCCCCGCUGUCCUUCUUCCUGACCCCUCCCUGCUGACCUCCGGUGCUGCGAGGCCGCCGGCUGCUGGGGCUGCGCUCCGGUGGCCCGGCUCAGGUAACCAGGCUGGCAGCCCAUCUCCAUGGGCUUUUCUGCAGUAGCUCAGGAGUAUCAGGAAGCCAACCCUGACCUUGGAGGACCUCUAAGAGCCCAGGACCCACCAGCAAGAAAAGUUGUGCAGUUGCAGGCCGGGACUUUAGCUCAGUGGUUCUGCUACCUGCUUCAAAAGUGCAAGGACCCGAGUUUGAUCCCCGGUACCAGAAAAAAAGAAAAAAAAAAAAAAAGUUGUACAGUUGCAAUUGGCUAACAAGUGAAGCGGAGUAAACAAGAGGGACAAUGAAUGUGUCCUCUUAAAGAUAGCACUAAUCAGGGGACCCCACCCUUAGACUCUGGGAGCCAGAAGUGCUGCUGGUUGGAAGCUGAUGAUCACAGCCGACAAUAAAGUUAAUUGUUACCCAGUC
Molecule: long non-coding RNA, 1111 nt
Organism: Heterocephalus glaber (naked mole-rat)
Lineage: Eukaryota; Metazoa; Chordata; Mammalia; Rodentia; Bathyergidae
Source: Ensembl